GUUGGGUUAAGUCCCGCAACGAGCGCAACCCCUGNUNCUAGUUGCCAACAGGUUAAGCUGAGCACUCUACAGGGACUGCCUGGGCAACCAGGAGGAAGGCGGGGAUGACGUCAAGUCCUCAUGGCCCUUAUGNNCAGGGCUACACACGUGCUACAAUGGGCGGUACAGAGNGCAGCNAACUCGCGAGAGCAAGCNAAUCNCACAAAGCCGUCCUCAGUUCNGAUUGCAGGCUGCAACUCGACUGCAUGAAGCUGGAAUCGCUAGUAAUCGGAGAUCAGCACNCUCCGGUGAAUACGUUCCCGGGCCUUGUACACAC
This 316-nucleotide ribosomal RNA is filed under the name uncultured delta proteobacterium. RNAcentral's name for it is "partial 16S ribosomal RNA". It matches the Rfam family "Bacterial small subunit ribosomal RNA", at positions 1074 to 1390 of the family's 1533-position model. Lineage: Bacteria; Deltaproteobacteria. The record is from RNAcentral.